Molecule: non-coding RNA, 22 nt
Filed under: Arabidopsis thaliana (thale cress)
Lineage: Eukaryota; Viridiplantae; Streptophyta; Magnoliopsida; Brassicales; Brassicaceae
Source: RNAcentral
UCGUACAAUUUCUCAGCCUCUA